UUAGGGCCCUCCUGCGUUUGGUAGCUGCGUGGAAAUAUCCCGUAUUCUUAUCUCCCAAGGUGAGCCACAGCUGUCGACUCCUCUGUUUCCAGAAAGCCUCUUCCUUCUGGUGAUUAUCUCCCUCCUGCAAACCUCUAGUCUUUCCUCAACUGCUGCCUCUGGGAUCAACUUCCAGGCAUCUAGGAUAAGUUUCCUCACUUCCUCAUUUCCUUUUAAACUUCUAUCAUACCGGAACAAACCUCUUCUCUUUUGUUUAAUAGGGUCAAAGGAGGUGACCAAAGGCCGGUGGUCAGAUCCUUCAAAUCUCAAAUAUUCACUUCUGCCCGAAGGAAAUUCCAACACCCAUUCACUGUUUGCCAUAGCCCUGUCUAAAUGACACCGUACCAAAUGAGAAUAUCUUUUUCCUCUCCAUGACAGGAAGUUUCCUGAGUGUUUUAAAUCAAAGAGGUCACAAGUAGACAUCAAUGCUCGCAAGGGCUAUUUCGAGUUUCUCCAAAGUUUUGGAUCUGGAUCCAUAUCUCUUGUCUUUUGGCCAAGUCCGGUUCUCCAUAUAGGAAGAACAAGGCAAGUCCUCCUGCAGUCGACUCUGAUGGGGGAACAAGGAAGCUUGACGUAUAUCCCAUCCAGUCCAAGUGUUGCAGAAUAAACUCCGAGGUAUUAAAGAGAUCUUUGGAUCCCCGGUUUUGCGUUGUUUCGACUUAUGGCUUCUGAUAGAUGAUGAUUCAUCCUCAAUUCGCUCUGAGUCUGCCGCUUUUCCUCUCUUUUGU
Non-coding RNA from Camelina sativa (false flax), 767 nucleotides. The record is from RefSeq and is a predicted model, not a curated record. Lineage: Eukaryota; Viridiplantae; Streptophyta; Magnoliopsida; Brassicales; Brassicaceae.